This 245-nucleotide ribosomal RNA is filed under the name uncultured bacterium. RNAcentral's name for it is "partial 16S ribosomal RNA". It matches the Rfam family "Bacterial small subunit ribosomal RNA", at positions 524 to 768 of the family's 1533-position model. The record is from RNAcentral.
UACGGAGGAUGCAAGCGUUAUCCGGAUUUAUUGGGUUUAAAGGGUGCGUAGGCGGUUUUAUAAGUCAGUGGUGAAAUACUGGAGCUUAACUUUAGCAUUGCCAUUGAAACUGUAAGACUAGAGUUUGGUUGAGGUAUGCGGAAUGUGUAGUGUAGCGGUGAAAUGCAUAGAUAUUACACAGAACACCGAUUGCGGAGGCAGCAUACUAAGCCAAUACAGACGCUGAGGCACGAAAGCGUGGGGAU